AUUCAGAACACUUACUAAUAAAAUAUCCUCCAAUGUCUACUUUUAUUGUGCAAGCAGCCUCCUAACUCUGCAGGACUGUGGUGUGAACGCAUAAGUGCAUAAGUGCAUGUGAGCACACCUCCACACCCCAACCAAGACUGCUAGGGAGUUUGUAGGCCCUCAUGCCCACCAUUAAUAUUAUUAUCCAAUCCAAAGGCCAAUGGAUGAAGGGUAAGAAUUUACUGAAAUUGUUAUGGAUUCACAGAAUAAUAUUUAAGCAGAAAUACUAGUGGUAAAUGC
Non-coding RNA from Pelobates cultripes (western spadefoot toad), 279 nucleotides. The record is from the annotation of a GenBank genome assembly. NCBI's taxonomy places the organism in Eukaryota, Metazoa, Chordata, Amphibia, Anura, Pelobatidae.